This 93-nucleotide microRNA precursor is filed under the name Canis lupus familiaris (dog). RNAcentral's name for it is "mir-8834 microRNA precursor family". It matches the Rfam family "mir-8834 microRNA precursor family". RNAcentral also lists the same sequence under 1 other name. Lineage: Eukaryota; Metazoa; Chordata; Mammalia; Carnivora; Canidae. The record is from Rfam by way of RNAcentral.
AGGAGGAACAGCCCCAGUGGCGGGGCAGCUCUGGAACCUGGAUUCAGCUCCGGCAGGAACUCUGUCUGCAGGGCCUGGAGGCUCCGGGGCGGG